Molecule: long non-coding RNA, 201 nt
Filed under: Solanum tuberosum (potato)
Lineage: Eukaryota; Viridiplantae; Streptophyta; Magnoliopsida; Solanales; Solanaceae
Description: long non-coding RNA (STUB_LNC011667)
Source: RNAcentral
CAAAAGAACAAUCACUUUCAACAGAAGAGGUGGCGAAUUUUUCUUCGAAGGGAUCAAAAUUGUUUUUGCAAUUAAAAAAACUGGAGGAAUAAACUCUAACAUCCACAGAAAAGCAGUAUUUAAAACAGAAAUUAAAAUAGACAUCCCAAAUAUAUAUAGAACAAAAUAUGACUGUCAACACAAAAGGUGUGGGCCUCACCC